This is a long non-coding RNA of Bubalus bubalis (water buffalo), 376 nucleotides long. RefSeq lists it as uncharacterized. The record is from RefSeq and is a predicted model, not a curated record. NCBI's taxonomy places the organism in Eukaryota, Metazoa, Chordata, Mammalia, Artiodactyla, Bovidae. The transcript has 3 exons.
GGUGCCGAGGGUGCCCUGGAGAACAAAGCUGACACUGUCCCUGCCCCAGGGGCACUUACAGUUCACUGGUGGAGAAUAAAAGGCAGUGCAAAUAAACAGCAGCUAAAAGAAGACGAAUCCAUCAUGAAAGGUAGCAGGGACUUAAACUCCCAUUUGCACCAGGCCAAGCAAGUGAAUCACAGAGGGCGAUCCAUCAGAGGUGAUUCACCGAGAGCAGCUGAUUCUCUGAACGUGGACUCUGAAGCAGCUUCAGCUGCUGUGGGAGUGUGGUUCUUCUUGCUUCUUCUGUCUGCCCUCUGAUGGAGGAGGCUAAGAGGCUUCAGUAAGCUGAUGGGAAGGACUGGCAGUGGGAAAAACUGCUCUGGUGGGCAGUGCC